CUUGACCCCUUUGCUCAUCACUCUUCCUUCUCUGCACCUGGAUUCCAGUUUAGUUCAGUUUUAGGUGUGGGUAUCUGUUUCUAUUUAAGUUUGACUUCUAAAAUGUAUGUUUAUACCUAUAUACUUGGAAUUAUUUCAGCUUUAGUCAGAGAAUCUUCCUUUUGUAGUUGGUACCAGCCAUUGGAGAUAUAUAUUACUAGUCAGAGUACUGAGAAUCAAGGUUUGUGGGUUAUGCUAUAAAUGGAACACCUGCAUUAGCUUGCCUUUGAAGGUUCAUGGAACAUUGUGGAAGAAGACUCAAGGCAGAGGAUUUGGAGCAAUUCUCUGAAAUGCUGCCUUCUGAACAUGACAUGAUUAUGGUAUUCAUGACUUCACAGAUGCAGUGGCACUUGCACAAGACCUACACAAGAACAAGUCAGCCAAAAUUCUGAUGUAAAUGUUGUAGAUGAUCUUCAGGGCUCACUACUCAUUGAGGAAAUUUUAGCAGGGCCUAAUUUCUGGGGAAGCAGUGAUCACUUAUUUUUGGAGUAUAUCACCCCCAGUAGAUUCCCAUGCUUCAGUGGAUAGCUCCAUACCCAAGUCCCUAUGAAUGGUACAGGCUGAACUUUGUUAUAAAAGAAAAGGCCAUGAAGUUUGCAGAGGAAUGUGUCAGAGAAAAUGGGAGAAGUUGGAGGUGGUAAAUGGGUUAGACAUAUUUCUUUGCACAACUGUAUGACAUUCUCAAGAAUAAAGAAAAACUUUUUAAAAAUUAUUUAAAUUAUCCCAUAUAUUCAUCUAUAUAUUGCCAUGUGGUCAUGGCAUUACCUCAUUUUCUACAUGUCUUGUUUCCUUGGUGACUACUGGCAUCAUCCAGCAACUCCACCUUCUUUCUCCCUGCAUCUCUGCUUGGAUUUUCCACCUAGCUAUAUUCUGCCCUGCCAUAGGCUAAAAUAGCUUGCUUUAUUCAUCAACCAACAAAGGCAACACAUAUUUGCAGUGCACAGAAGGGCAUCCUACAUCAAUGAUGAACAUAUUACUUAUCCUACCCAAUAUUAUUAUUUCUUUUUUUAAAUCAUUUUUUAUUUAAAUUAAAAACAAUCAUAUUUAAAUGGCUAUAUAUUCUGUAAGUUCUAUUCUUCUAGAAAACUGUAAUACAGAUGUGUUAAAGAUGUUUGGGUAAAAAGAAAAAAGAAUUAUUUUAAAAUAAUCCAUCUAAGCAAAUAAUAUUAAAAUAAAGUUCAAGAGAGCCAUUCCUUCGGGCAGAUUUGAUGCUACAGUGAACAGUGUUUUAAUAACUCUUUGAAAAUUACUGAUCUCAUUUGAGCUUCAGCACACAUACUACCUUAAUUUCAUUUUAUUUUAUUUGAUUUAGAUAUUUUGGAACAGUUAUUUGGGUGUUAUUUGCAUGUUUCUUUAGAUUAUUUCUAUCAUACAUUAUAAGUAUUUGGAAAGAUUAUUAUUGUUUUAUGUAAGACAAAUAAAGUAAGCCAUAUAUUUUUACUUUUCUAACAUAUGAAUAACCACUUUUUAUAUAUCUGUAACACAAUAGAAAUUAUGGAAAUAUAAUAAUAAUAUAAAAUAUCACAGGAGAUCCAUGGACAUGGACAAUUUUCUUACUGUGACCAUCUGAAAAAAAGUAAUACAAUCUUUUGCAGAAAAAUAUGUUCCUAAACAUUGAAACCAGAAUGAGUGAAUGCUCUCUCGCUCAUAUAUAUAUCGUUUCUGGGAUAAUAUAAAACUAUGCAGAACUAUGUAGGCAACCUGCUAUGGAAGGCAGAUGUUGGUCUUUUUUACCACCCACUAGAAAUUAAAAGCCAGUUUAUAUGCUUUUACACAGAUGCUAUUUGUGGAAUUAAGACUUUGUAGGGGAAAGACCCUAGUGAAUAAAUAACAUGAUGUUGGCUUUUCAGCAUUUUAAGUUUUGGACACUUCAUAAUGUUCCACUAUGAGAUGAGUAUGAAAAAAAUAGACAGUUGCAGUAGCAUUGGAAGAAAUAAAACUACAUCUCCAAAGCUGUCUAAACAGUACUGAAUAAAGCAAAUGUUGGAUAAAGGCAAAUGUGCAUUGCUAACAUUGCCAGAACUGCAUUCUAUGAACAAAGCCAGAAACCACAGUAUGUAGUAGAAACAAGAUUUGAUGAUUUCAAGAAAGCUGGCUUAUAAUUCCUUUCAUUUUUCUUUCUAAAUUUCAAGUAACAAAUUUGACCCAUGAAGGCAUGGGGAAUGAAUCACAAUUUGUGCCAAACUGUGGCUGAGUUCCAAAAGGCUUAGGCAUAUGACAGAAGUGGUGGUGACAAGGACUGACUCUUGGGAAACUGGGCACCAUUCCCUUGUAGGAGUGUUUAGUAUACUGCAUGUGGGAACAAUCAGAAGCAGACAAGGCAGACCCAGACCUCAAGGGGAAGUAGCAGUAAAAUUGGGUCAAACUGGAAAUUUUUGCCAAGAGCUUGGUUGAAAACAUGGCAUUGAUGGAAAUUCUUUCUCUGAGAGAACAAGCAGGAGAUUGGGAAAAUAGGUGGAUGAGCUCCAGUUUGGGGUACAGAAAAUUGUGAUGGAGUACCUGGAAGUAAUUACAAGCUCUGUUUUUUUUGCCAAGAAAGUAGACUGGGAAGAUUGUUUGAGCUUGUUUUCACAUUGUGUUAAGUGUCUUAUAAACAUAUGUAUGCUGUUGCGUGUUUAGAGGAUGGAGAAAUAAUUAGUUUAUUGACUUGUUCAACAUUUGUUUAGUGGUUUUUCAUGUCAGUCAGCAAUUAAAAUAUUAAGAGCUUACUCUGAACAUUGCACUGUGACAAUAAAAGAUGUUUUUAAGUGGAAUUUGAUAUGGCUCCUGCAUACAAAGACUUAAGCACUAAUUAAAGCCACAGGAUAGCACGCAUAUACUCCAAGCCUGUUGAAUCUAAGAGUCAGGAGCAGAGUACAAACAACAAGUGCUACAGAAUUUCUGAGAGUAUAAAAUGAGCAAAAGUAUUAAAUCAGAGAGAAGAUUAAAGAACAAAUACAGAUAACAGACUGACAAUAUAUGAACAAAAAGGAUAAAUUAGAUCAAGAACAUUGUGGAAAUGGGAAUAGAUAUAAAUAGGGUGUGGGAUUUAAUACACAGAGAAAAUGAUUCAAUGAUAUUUCUUAAUAUGAUAUAUAAAUUUCUGAAAAUUAAAAUUGGCGACAUGGGAAGGCUUUGAGCAUUUAAAUUGUAGUAUGACAACAUUAUAGGAAGAGUUUUAUGAUACAGCAUACAAUGAAGCAAGGAAGUAAAUGGGAGAGUUGGAGACAGACAAAUGUACUUGGUGAUAGUUUAGUGGUUGAAGCAUGUGAGCCAUGAUCUAAACCACAGCCAUAAUAGAAGAGUUAAAAUGAACAUAAGACACAUUGUGGAUAUAAUUACAACUUUAUCCUGGACAUAGAGCAUUGUAUUUGGAACAAAACAAUCUGUGAGAAGUCUCAAAUAUUUUUUUCUGUAAAAUUACAUUGUUUUGCCAUUAUACUGCAUUUGGAUUGAGAAAACUGAGGAAAAAGAAUGUUAUAUAAAAAUGAUUGCUAAAUGCUGAGCAAUUUAAGGAUUGAAUGUGUCAUUAAACAAUAUAGGCUUCACUAGGUAAUUGUAUAGAAAAAUUGUAAGUUACUAUUUGUGUAAAAGAAUAAUAAUUUUGUGUGUUAUUAUUUAUUAAAUAAGGAAUAUAUAACAUUCUUACAAAUCAAUAGAGUACAAUUCCUGUGAUAGUAAAAAUGAGUGAUGUAACCAAAACCCAGACAGACAAAUGCCACAUGCUCUCUCAUUUGUGUAUUCUAGCUCUGAAUCUUGAGAUGGAAUAUGCAACCUGAAGUAACUGAAAACGUCAGGAAUGAAAAUGGAAAAUGGAUACAUAGGAGAGAAAGAGCUCUAGAGAGAGUGGCAGUAGGAUACAGGUGUUAUAAAGGAGAAAUUGGGACAAACGAGGGUGAGAUUUUAGCUGGAGGGGGGAGUGUUGGUAAUAUAAUGGGAGAGCAAGGAAGGAGAAAGUAUAAGCACUAGGGAUAUUUGAAGCCAGUUACCUCAACUCAUGCAUCUAUCUUUUCUCUGCCAUAAUCAACUAUAUCCUCAGAACCCUAAUUUUCCUCAUUCUUAAUUUUAUCCUUAUUGUUACCUUUCCCCGUAUGUUUACCUAUGGAAGUUAAACUGUCUGUGCUGAUAUUAAUGUUUAAUCUUCCACACCAAACAAAAAAAAAUCCUAACAGUAAUCUUUGAACUCUAAGGAAAGAAGAUGGGGACCCACUUCAUCGAUCCCAACUGAUUCAACUUGAUGCCUCUGAACCACCCUAAAAUCAGUCUGGGACUAAGGAUUGAGACAACUCCAGACUAGGGUAUUGACCCCGAGGAAGACUUGGAAGAACUUGAAGAUAGCUGGCUUGAGACCCUCUAAUGUCUGUCUCCUCAACACUGGAAUUACAGGAACAUACUGCUGUGACUGUUCUCAUAUGAGUGCUACAGCUCAUACUCAAGACUUCAUGUUUGUGUACUGAGCUUUCUCUGCAUCCCCAGAUAUUUUAUGCAAGAGAGAGCCUGGACAGUGUCAAAUGAAACAAGCAAUUAGUUGCUUUCUAACCGUGAGCAGUUCAAACUGUAACAUCAUGCCAGACGUGAUUAAGAAUGAUACAGCACAUCAUCAUUGUCAACACUAUUCAGCCAAUGUAAACCUUAGUUAGAAAUGUACUUGUCAGAGAAAAAUGCGCCUUUGAUUUCUAUUGCACUUUCCCAGUAAUUGCUGUCAUCAGUGGCAGGUUAUUAUUACAGUUGAAUAGAGUUUCAGUAAUUACUUUUCCACAGAUUCUAACAGCUUUUAGAUUGAAGGAUAUUCUGACAGUUUGAAUACUCUUGACAACAAUUACCUUUUUCCUGGUUAACACUGAUUCAGGAAAAUUAAAAAUUAAAUCUGUUCAGAGGAAACACUUAUGUAUGUCACUAGUAAGUGCGUUGAUAUAAAAAAUGUGUAAAUUGCAGAAUGACUUAGAUUUUUUUAAAGUUCUCUUUCACUCAAGUAUUUUUGAAAAUCAGCAUUUUGGGAGAUACAGACUAUGUUGGUUAGUUUAAAAGUAAAUGAUGUGGAAAAGCUGAAACCAAUCCUCAAUCCACUAACAGAAACCACUGUACUGUUCUGAGGAAAAAAAGAUGUACAUGAGAAGAAUAGGGCAAUAUUAUAUUUGCAUAUCUAUGUCUACCUAUACAUAUAUCUAUAUACCUUAGAUAAAUGAAGGCCAAAAUACAGUCACAUUUCUACAUCUCUCAGAGAGUAAAUAUAUGCUUUUGCAAGUUUGAAUUUUUAUGACAAUAAAAUGUCUACUUUUAGGAAA
This is a non-coding RNA of Cricetulus griseus (Chinese hamster), 5303 nucleotides long. NCBI's taxonomy places the organism in Eukaryota, Metazoa, Chordata, Mammalia, Rodentia, Cricetidae. The record is from RefSeq and is a predicted model, not a curated record.